RNAcentral lists this long non-coding RNA (2973 nucleotides) under Scleropages formosus (Asian bonytongue). Its description in RNAcentral is "lncRNA (ENSSFOG00015030053.1)". Lineage: Eukaryota; Metazoa; Chordata; Actinopteri; Osteoglossiformes; Osteoglossidae. The record is from RNAcentral.
AUGAUCGAAUCCAUAGAUGGCAAAGUGGCAAUUCCUCUUCCACCACUUAUUGAGUGUAGUGACAUCCCAAAUAAUCGCACAGAGAUUCCAACUCCAAAUGCUGUGAUUCAUCAGCCCCAUCUACAACAUAUCGCUAAACAUCUCCCAGAACUUGACUCGAAUGCAGAGAUCUUACUUCUUCUGGGUAGAGAUGUAUUAAGACUACACAAAGUAAGACAGCAGGUAAACGGGCCAUACAAUGCACCGUUUGCGCAACGUUUGGACCUUGGCUGGGUAGUAAUAGGAGAAGCGUGCCUAGGAAACAUUCAUAAGCCAAUCAUCAGCAACUUCAAGACCACCGUGCUGGAAAGUGGCCGUCACUCCAUCUUCCGGCCAUGCACAAGUUACAUGCAGAUAAAGGAAUCAUUACCCAACCUCAACCAAGCCCCUAAGAUAACAGAGGAAACACUAGGAAAAACAGUGUUCAACAGAACUGAUCAAGACAACAGACCUGCUCCAUCAAUCGAAGAUGCAAUGUUUAUGGAAAAGAUGGAUACUGAAGUCUACCGAAACAGUAAGAAUACCUGGGUAGCACCACUUCCGUUUAAGGAGCCACGACCGCACCUUCCUAACAAUAAAGAGCAGGCUGUUAAGAGAUUCAUGUCACUGCAGAAAAUGCUCAGACGGAACCCCGUAAUGCAGAAACAGUACUUUGCAUUCAUGGACAAAAUCUUUCAAAAUGGACACACUGAAGUAGCACCACCACUAAGGGACAAUGAGGAAUGCUGGUUCCUUCCUACAUUUGGAGUAUAUCAUCCUCGGAAGCCCGACCAGAUUAGGGUGGUGUUCGAUUCAAGCUCACAAUACCAAGGAAUCUCCCUAAAUGAUGUAUUACUGACUGGCCCAGAUUUAAACAACACGUUGAUCGGUGUUCUGCUCCGCUUUCACAAGGAGAAAGUAGCCGUGUUAGCAGACAUCCAGCAAAUGUUCUACUGUUUUGAGGUAAGCGAGAACCAUCAAAACUUUCUUAGAUUCCUGUGGUACGAAGAAAAUGAUAUCAAGAAAAACAUCAUUGACUAUCGAAUGAAAGUUCAUGUUUUCGGCAAUAGUCCUUUGCCUGCCGUCGCCAUCUACGGGCUGAGAAGAGCCAUUAGAGAAGGUGCACCACAUUAUGGCGAUGAUACUGUUCAGUUUGUGGAAAGGCAUUUCUAUGUCGAUGAUGGUCUCAUAUCUGUACCAACUGAUCAUGAAGCAAUUGACCUGCUUAAAAGGACACAGGCCUCUCUAGCGGAAUCAAACCUUCGCCUUCACAAGUUCACCACAAACAGUCAAAACGUCUUAAAGGCCUUAUCCCCAGAACACUGUGUAACAACUGUCAAGGACUUAGACCUCAGCGGAGAGACACAAUCCAUCCAGCGCAGUUUGGGCCUCCUGUGGGAGAUAUCGACAGACACCUUUACCUUUUCUGUAUCAACAGCUACAAAGCCCUUCACUCGUCGUGGUGUGUUAUCCACUGUACACAGCAUUUUUGACCCUCUAGGUCUGCUGGACCCUGUCACUGUCUGUGGGAGAGCCCUUCUUGGAGAGCUUACGGCUGACCUCUCCGAUUGGGACACUCCUCUCCCAGAAGAAAAACGUGAUAAGUGGGACUUAUGGUGCGAAUCGCUUCACGAUCUCAAGCAGAUGCACAUACCACGAACCUAUACGGACAUGUCACUUUGCAACAGUGAGCACAUUGAGCUUAGUGUGUUCUCAGACGCCUCGACAAAGGCGAUUGGAGCCGUUGCAUAUCUCAAGACUGUUCAAAAAGAUGGUCACACUGAGAUCGGAUUUGUCAUGGCUAAAGGACGGUUAACACCCAAAUCCGAACCUACCAUCCCACGUCUAGAACUCUGUGCGGCUGUUUUAGCUGUUGAGUUGGCGGAUCUCAUCCAAGAGGAGCUAGAUGUAAAGUUUGAUAAGGUUAAUUUCUACAGUGACAGCAAGGUAGUACACGGAUACAUCCAUAAUACCACUAAAAGGUUCUAUGUCUAUGUGCACCACAGGAUUCAGCUUAUACGCCACUCUUCCAAACCAGAACAAUGGCACUAUGUUCCCUCUGAAGAAAAUCCCGUGGAUCACAUUUCAAGAUUCCUGCCCGCCUCUUGUCUAGCGCAAACAACCUGGUUCUUUGGACCAUCAUUCCUACGAAAUACCCCUGGAGAAAGCAAGCACAUAUGUGAAAGAUUUGACUUAAUACAACCGGAAAAGGACAUUGAAAUCAGGCCAGAAAUAAAAACUUACAGCACACACCUGAUGGAGAACAUAUUCAAUCCAGAUCGCUUCCAGCGCUUCUCUAGUCUUCAUUCACUCCUUAGAGCUGUUGCAUGCCUGACUCACAUAGCUAAAUCCUGCAAACAAUCGGGCAAAGUUAGGGCGUGCAAAGGGUGGCACUGGUGUAAACAACCACGUUCACCCGAGGAACUUGACCAAGCUAUGUAUGUUAUCCUCGAAGCUGCACAAAGAUCUACCUUCCAAAAGGAACUUGUGGCUCUGCAGGCUAAAAAGCCCAUUCCAAAGGAUAGCUGUCUCCAAAAGCUUAGCCCAAUCAUCACUGAUGGCUUGAUUCGCAUUGGAGGCCAGCUACAACAUUCAAACUUAGAAACUAAUGAAAGGCAUCCUGUGAUUUUGCCCAAGAACAGCCAUGUAGCUUUACUGCUGACACGCCAUCACCAUGAGCAAGUGAAACAUCAGGGACGCCACUUCACGGAGGGAGCCAUACGAGCAGCAGGAUACUGGAUCUUGGGUGGCAAAAGGCUCAUCAACACAGUCAUUCAUAACUGUGUGACGUGCAGGAAGCUUAGAGGUAAAGUUGAGGAACAAUACAUGGCAGACUUACCUACAGAGCGUCUCCAAAUAUGCCCUCCAUUCACCUAUGUUGGACUAGAUGUUUUUGGUCCGUGGAUGGUUACUGCUAGGAGGACCCGUGGAGGACACGCAGAAAGUAAAAGAUGA